AGGAGCCAAAAAAGUUCUGGGAGGAAGGAGUUGGUGGCAAAAAUAGAGCCAGGCCUGAGGCAGGUGGAGAGCCUUCAGCUAGAGGCCUAGAAAAUUGAGGUCGAUGGCAUCUUAAACACUGUCAAUCAUCCUCAUGGGUCAGAGGUGACUGUCACCAAUGGACACUACCUCUGCUCAGGGUCAAGCAGGAUGACCUAGGGCUGAUCUAACCAGGCAGGUCCCGCUGGGGAGGAACUGUCCCAGGGAUACUGGGCUGGAGACACAGUUCAGUUCCCUGCCACCUCCACACUGCCACCGCUGCCCGCAGGGGACUGUUGAGUGUAGUUCAAGACUGGGAGAUGAGGAACGAAGGAACUGGAUCAUGAAAAAGGAAGGAACUCUUGGCAGACGGCCUGGGCAUUCCUCAGGCUGUGGGCUCAGCACCUUCCUGGGAGGGCAGGCAGUCAGGCACUAGCCCAGCCUCCUGCAGCUGAGUCAGCUUCUAAGUGAGGCCUCAGAGGGCGGCAGCAUCCAGAAUUCAAGGGGGACUUGGAGAUGAUCUUGGACUCCUCGCACUGGCACUGGAAAGAACCUGGGAGGGGUUUGUCAAAUCCCAGGGAGAGCCACCAUGCUGAACAACGCUGGAGGGCAGAAACAGGAAGCGCCGUGUUCCUGCUUAAUAACCUAGAGCUCUCGCUGGUAAGCCAAGAACGCUACCCAGAAAAACGGAGAUGGAAGGAGCUGGAAGGGCUCUGUGGGAACUGGAGCACCUUUCCAGGGCCUGUGAGGUCGAAGGCAGAAAGGAAACGUUAGCUCUGAACAUGAGCAGAACUGCUGUAGCCUCCCAACAUUGUGAUUUAUCACAGUAGCUGGGAAAAAAAACCCAACUGCCAGUGAGGUCAUAUAUUGGAGAAGGUUGGCAGAAUGUCGGAGACACCAUGUCUGAGGUUCCUUUUGUUCCUAGCAUUCUGUGACAGCUCCCUAAGCCUCACUGCUCCAAGAGGAUCAGAGAGAAUCACCAUGCAGGGCCUGGGAAGGUCUGGCCACGACCCCAGGCAGCUGUGACUCAGUCGCCAUUUUAUGCCAUGCUGUCUGGGAGUCACUGAAGGACUUCUUUCUGCUGGGCCCUCUCUAUGGGCUCUGACUAAGCAGAAAAGGAUAGACAGCUCAUCACCUGGCUCGGAGAGUCAGUCUGCCUGAGCUUCCCACCUGAGUGGUCAGCCUCCUCCUCUGCCUUUUGGAAAGCAGCAGCCCGCCUGCCUUUUCCUGAGGCUCCCAAAUAUAACUUUGCACUGUCUUUAAGCAAGGGAACAAGUCAUGGAAUCAUCAGAACGAGAGCCAAAGAACCAGCGCAGAGGAUAAAGAUAGGGAGGAAGCAAAACAACAACAACAACAACAACAAAAACAAAAAAACAAAAAAAAAUAACCCAAAAACAAACAAACAAAAAACAGUCAAGUGAUCGGGGAGGGGAAGUGGAUGAAACGGAGAUGGGUGAAUCCAGAGGGACCCAGGAUAUGAGAAGUGUUAAACUCAUCGCUGGCAUGUGUUCAAGGUCAGCUUGGGCUACUGAUGAAUUUCCAAGACCAACACCUGUGAUAGGGGUGAAACCCUGACUCAAAACUUUAGUAAUAAUUAACUAAGUAACUGUCUAACUAACUGAGCCUUGGGAAUCAAGACAAAAAGAGAACAAGGCAAAUUCUAAGCUGUGAUAGGACGUUAAGAGGGAGCUCUAACGCCCUCUGAUCUCUCAAAGCUGAAAAGAGGUAGCAUGUGCCCACAGCACAUUCUAUUCAGGGGCCCAGCCCAGCUGUGGUGACUAAAGAAACUCCAUUCUGUGCUAGGCAUCCAUCUUGAUACCUAAGAACAAGCUUGUCUGACUCAAGUUCCUGAAAGAUAAGUUCCUGACAACCCUGAGUCCUUGACCCCACCCAGAAAUGUACCCCAUCUGCUUGUUAUGAUGUGACUAACUGCUGAUUUGGCUUCUGUAACAUGCUUCUGCAGACAUUCAAGGAUUAUUUUGAGGUCACCUUGACUACCUAAUCUUGGCAGGACAAAAAAAAAGGAUUCCUGGCAGAUUUUAUUAUGUUAAAUUUUAUAUUAAGAAACACAACACAUGCCUAUGACAGUUUUACAGAGAAUUUAAAGUGGACAAGCACAAUGCCUUGAGGCCAGCUAUGGAGCUAACCCAAGUGAAGGCAUAUCAGGAGCCGUGGCCUUUCUGGGAAACUUGAGGAAUACAGAGAAAGGCAGAAUUGUCUCGAACUCAGAAAUCCGCCUGCCUCUGCCUCCCAAGUGCUGGGAUUAAAGGCAUGCACCACCACGCCCGGCCAUUGUUUGGUAGUCUUAAUGUGAUGUACUUCAACAUUUAACAAAGAGGGUUCUGCAGAAAAUACGGCUUUCCUUGGAGCUAGCCCAGGUUAGAGUAAUGGAGAGUCUGUGUAUUGUGGCUCUAUGGGAACCUGGCACACUGGAGCUAUCCCACCCUCUAUGAUCAAGUAUCUCUGUAGGGUCCUGUCUGUCUUUGGACCUCAUAUUUGAGAUGAAGCACUCUCCCCGCCUUCCCUUACAACAGUGGUUCUCAAAUGCACAGAUACUCCUAGGUAUCCAGUUAAGUCCGUCUGGGGUGUGGCCUGGGGAUUUGUGUUUUCAGGGAUUUGAGGUCCCAGGUAAUUGAAACGGUGCCUCAAGGACACACCAAGAACCACUAAGACUAUCCAGUAACGAUGUUGGGCUUACUUCCAAAACCAAAUGAAUUAAAACCUCCAGGAAUGGAACACAAGCAUCAAUAUGUCUUAAACUCAGUGAUUCCAAAGAUGACUCCAUGAUCAGAUCUACCUACUGUCCCAUGUGAAGGGUUUCCAAACGAUAGGGGAAAUAAAAGUACCACUAUUUGGUCCUGAAA
Long non-coding RNA from Mus musculus (house mouse), 2882 nucleotides. RefSeq annotates it as predicted gene, 35039. The transcript has 2 exons. Lineage: Eukaryota; Metazoa; Chordata; Mammalia; Rodentia; Muridae. The record is from RefSeq and is a predicted model, not a curated record.